GCUCCGGUAGCUUAGUAGGUUAGAGCUUCGGCACAUAAGGCCGACGCUUAGUGGGUUAGAGCGUCGGCCUUAUGUGCUGAAGGUUGAGGGUUUGACUCCCUCCUGGAGCA
Non-coding RNA from Gregarina niphandrodes, 110 nucleotides. The record is from the annotation of a RefSeq genome assembly. NCBI's taxonomy places the organism in Eukaryota, Apicomplexa, Conoidasida, Eugregarinorida, Gregarinidae.